RNAcentral lists this ribosomal RNA (235 nucleotides) under uncultured bacterium. Its description in RNAcentral is "partial 16S ribosomal RNA". It matches the Rfam family "Bacterial small subunit ribosomal RNA", at positions 99 to 334 of the family's 1533-position model. The record is from RNAcentral.
CAAACGGGUGCGGAACACGUACGCAACCUUCCCAAAACUGAUGAAUAGCCUUCCGAAAGGAAGAUUAAUACAUCGUAAGAUAACGAGGUGGCAUCACUUUGUUAUUAUAGCUCCGGCGGUUUUGGAUGGGCGUGCGCCUGAUUAGGUAGUUGGCGGGGUAACGGCCCACCAAGCCUUCGAUCAGUAACUGGUGUGAGAGCACGACCAGUCACACGGGCACUGAGACACGGGCCCG